GUUUGACUUUUGAAAGGGAAUCGAGAUUUUUUCAUUUUUUCCCUCCGCUUUUCCCCCCAGAUUCAACCCUUAUUUUCUAGUAUAUAAUAUCCUUUUAUUUACCGUCAAGGGGGUCCUUUUUAUGGUAUUCUGGAAAUUCUUAGAGCAAGAGUACAGAAAAAUAGAGAACAAUAUUUAUAUAUUCUUUAAGGAAUACAGUAAGGUUUUGAAGCGGAUGUGGGUUUUGGAGUUUAUUUCCAUAAGAUAUUAGAUUAAGGAGUCUUAUUUGUGAGUCGACACGAGUAUUUCCGGUA
Molecule: unclassified non-coding RNA, 293 nt
Filed under: Hevea brasiliensis (rubber tree)
Lineage: Eukaryota; Viridiplantae; Streptophyta; Magnoliopsida; Malpighiales; Euphorbiaceae
Source: RNAcentral